RNAcentral lists this ribosomal RNA (793 nucleotides) under uncultured Arthrobacter sp. RNAcentral's name for it is "bacterial SSU rRNA". It matches the Rfam family "Bacterial small subunit ribosomal RNA", at positions 65 to 869 of the family's 1533-position model. The record is from RNAcentral. Lineage: Bacteria; Bacillati; Actinomycetota; Actinomycetes; Micrococcales; Micrococcaceae.
AACGAUGAUGGGAGCUUGCUCCUGGAUUAGUGGCGAACGGGUGAGUAACACGUGAGUAACCUGCCCUUAACUCUGGGAUAAGCCUGGGAAACUGGGUCUAAUACCGGAUAUGACUCCUCAUCGCAUGGUGGGGGGUGGAAAGCUUUAUUGUGGUUUUGGAUGGACUCGCGGCCUAUCAGCUUGUUGGUGAGGUAAUGGCUUACCAAGGCGACGACGGGUAGCCGGCCUGAGAGGGUGACCGGCCACACUGGGACUGAGACACGGCCCAGACUCCUACGGGAGGCAGCAGUGGGGAAUAUUGCACAAUGGGCGCAAGCCUGAUGCAGCGACGCCGCGUGAGGGAUGACGGCCUUCGGGUUGUAAACCUCUUUCAGUAGGGAAGAAGCGAAAGUGACGGUACCUGCAGAAGAAGCGCCGGCUAACUACGUGCCAGCAGCCGCGGUAAUACGUAGGGCGCAAGCGUUAUCCGGAAUUAUUGGGCGUAAAGAGCUCGUAGGCGGUUUGUCGCGUCUGCCGUGAAAGUCCGGGGCUCAACUCCGGAUCUGCGGUGGGUACGGGCAGACUAGAGUGAUGUAGGGGAGACUGGAAUUCCUGGUGUAGCGGUGAAAUGCGCAGAUAUCAGGAGGAACACCGAUGGCGAAGGCAGGUCUCUGGGCAUUAACUGACGCUGAGGAGCGAAAGCAUGGGGAGCGAACAGGAUUAGAUAGCCUGGUAGUCCAUGCCGUAAACGUUGGGCACUAGGUGUGGGGGACAUUCCACGUUUUCCGCGCCGUAGCUAACGCAUUAAGUGCCC